UUAAAAGAAUAUUGGCAGAAAAACAGCCCUAGAGUUCCAGCAGGAGUGAACAGGAACAGGAAAACAAAUGGCAGUAUCCCUGAGACAGCCACUUCUGGUGGUUGCCAGUCACCUGGGGAUUCAGCAAGAGAUUUCCACAGGGAAGGCCCUACAUCAUCUGCUACCCUGAAGGAUCUGGAGAGCCCAUGCCAAGAACUAGCAGUAGUCCUGGAUUCAAGGUCCGUAAAAAUCAGUCAACUGAAGAACACCAUCAAAGCUUUG
Molecule: small RNA, 261 nt
Filed under: Pongo abelii (Sumatran orangutan)
Lineage: Eukaryota; Metazoa; Chordata; Mammalia; Primates; Hominidae
Description: processed transcript
Source: RNAcentral